AAAUUGAAGAGUUUGAUCAUGGCUCAGAUUGAACGCUGGCGGCAGGCCUAACACAUGCAAGUCGAACGGUAACAGGAAGCAGCUUGCUGCUUUGCUGACGAGUGGCGGACGGGUGAGUAAUGUCUGGGAAACUGCCCGAUGGAGGGGGAUAACUACUGGAAACGGUGGCUAAUACCGCAUAACGUCGCAAGACCAAAGAGGGGGACCUUCGGGCCUCUUGCCAUCAGAUGUGCCCAGAUGGGAUUAGCUUGUUGGUGAGGUAACGGCUCACCAAGGCGACGAUCCCUAGCUGGUCUGAGAGGAUGACCAGCCACACUGGAACUGAGACACGGUCCAGACUCCUACGGGAGGCAGCAGUGG
This 360-nucleotide ribosomal RNA is filed under the name Salmonella enterica. Its description in RNAcentral is "bacterial SSU rRNA". It matches the Rfam family "Bacterial small subunit ribosomal RNA", at positions 1 to 357 of the family's 1533-position model. Lineage: Bacteria; Pseudomonadati; Pseudomonadota; Gammaproteobacteria; Enterobacterales; Enterobacteriaceae. The record is from RNAcentral.